GACGAACGCUGGCGGCGUGCUUAACACAUGCAAGUCGAACGGAAAGGCCCCUUUGGGGGUACUCGAGUGGCGAACGGGUGCGUAACACGUGAGUAACCUGCCCUUGACUUCGGGAUAACUUCAGGAAACUGGGGCUAAUACCGGAUAGGAAUCCUUGCUGCAUGGUGGGGGUUGGAAAGAUUCGGCGGUUUUGGAUGGACUCGCGGCCUAUCGGCUUGUUGGUGGGAUAGUGGCUUACCAAGGCUUUGACGGGUAGCCGGCCUGAGAGGACGACCGGCCAUAUUGGGACUAAGGUACGGCCGAGACUCCUACGGGCGGAAACAGUGGGGAAUAUUGCACAAUGGGCGGAAGCCUGAUGCAGCAGCGCCGCGUGCGGGAUGACAGCCUUGGGGUUGUAAACCGCUUUCAGCAGGGGAGAAGCUUGUGGUGACGGUACCUGCAGAAGAAGCACCGGCUAACUACGUG
RNAcentral lists this ribosomal RNA (465 nucleotides) under uncultured bacterium. Its description in RNAcentral is "partial 16S ribosomal RNA". It matches the Rfam family "Bacterial small subunit ribosomal RNA", at positions 28 to 507 of the family's 1533-position model. The record is from RNAcentral.